AUGGGGCGGCGCAUCUUCUUCAGGCCAUGGAACCGUCAGGCGCUGGCGGCACACUCGAGAUUCAGCUUCAAGGUUUCUCUCAUGCUGGAAGGCAUCCCCCCACACGCUUGGGAGAGAGAAGUGGUGGAAGAUCUGCUCGGUUCUUCCUACAUGGUGGACAUGGUGGCGCCAGAAUCAAGCUCGCGUCGUGAUUUCUCUGCUUUCAGGCUCACGGCGUGGACGGCCGAUCCUGAGGCCAUUCCGACGUUGAGGUGGUUGGCCAUCCCGGAGCCUGGCUUGUUCGUCCCGCUGGCGGAGCCUGCGCUGUUGCAGUACAAGAUCCUCAUACACCUAGAAUCCGUGGCUGACUUUGGAGAGACGGAGGAGCCAUGCUUCUUAGCGGCUUCCUCAGACAGUGGCUAG
RNAcentral lists this ribosomal RNA (402 nucleotides) under Triticum aestivum (bread wheat). RNAcentral describes it as "partial small subunit ribosomal RNA". The record is from RNAcentral. Lineage: Eukaryota; Viridiplantae; Streptophyta; Magnoliopsida; Poales; Poaceae.